CGACAAUUCAUCAUCCAUAUCAUAACUAGGAAGGCAGCAUGGAUAUAGCCAGCCGUAUGCAGAUUGCAGCAGUUUCCAAUGCACUCACUUGUACUCCAGUGAUCACAACCAGUCCAUGCUGAGCUGCCUCGUCACAAAGGCCCUGGUGCUGACUUCUGUUCUGAACCUCACCCAGGACUCUUCUCCACCGGGUAGGAAAAUCGAGUCCCUGAGGACUUUGGCAAAGGUCAGGGGCAGCCACGACACAGCUCUGUGGCCAACCCAAGUGGACACCAAGGCCCUGGGGGUGACAAGGGGACAUGGAUGAGAACCCCCCCGCCUUCGGAGGCCAUUCUCGAGGUCCCAGGAGAGGCCCCAUGACAAUGAGACAGCGGGCAGCUGGUGCGGGGGGCCUGGACGCCCGGGGAACUCCCCACUGGCUCCUGCUGGCCCAAGAGCGGAGGCCCUGAGCCAGUCACUGGCCCAGCAUCCGGUGUCACUUACAAACACAGGACGGCUGCCACCUUCUGCAGGAGAACUGGCCCUCCCGCGCCAGUCCCCAGGCCACACCAGGCACUGUGGGGGGUGCCUGGCCCAGGGCUGGCACGGAGGGGCUCAGGCUGAGUGGGAGACGGGGCAGAACAGGCAGGCAUGGGGGGAGACCUGGGGAUCCCAAACAAAGGCAGAGCCUGGGAAGCACCCACUCGACCUACCUCCCAUUAUCUGGACCCAGGUUUCUACAAAACAUGAGAGCUCUCUGCAAAGAAGAAAAGAAAAAUGGACGGAACUCGAACUUAAAUCCAACCUUGUGGUUACAAUUACGGAGGCCCACCCAGGCCAGCACUGUGCGGGCCCCUUCAGGCUUCUCUCAGGCUCUCCCGAGACACACCGGCAGGCUGCAGUGCUACCACUGUGGUAAAGGACAAGGAAACUGAGGCUCUGUGGGAUUCCGGGACUUGCCCAAGGUCACACCAUCCUUGAGGGGUCGAGCCAGGACUGGAACCUCAGUCCGGCCACUACAACUUCAUAAAUACCAUCGCCCUGAGAUGCUGAAAUCCCAGGGGCCCCCCACCCUCAGACCAGGUGCCGGUAUUGUCAGCAUCGAGAAAACAAAGUGCCAGUGAAUUAUCAA
RNAcentral lists this long non-coding RNA (1111 nucleotides) under Homo sapiens (human). RNAcentral's name for it is "HSALNT0371145". Lineage: Eukaryota; Metazoa; Chordata; Mammalia; Primates; Hominidae. The record is from RNAcentral.